AUUGAACGCUGGCGGAAUGCUUUACACAUGCAAGUCGAACGGCAGCACGGGGGCAACCCUGGUGGCGAGUGGCGAACGGGUGAGUAAUACGUCGGAACGUGCCCGGUCGUGGGGGAUAACGUAGCGAAAGUUACGCUAAUACCGCAUACGAUCUGAGGAUGAAAGCGGGGGACCUUCGGGCCUCGCGCGGUCGGAGCGGCCGAUGUCAGAUUAGGUAGUUGGUGGGGUAAAGGCCUACCAAGCCGACGAUCUGUAGCUGGUCUGAGAGGACGACCAGCCACACUGGGACUGAGACACGGCCCAGACUCCUACGGGAGGCAGCAGUGGGGAAUUUUGGACAAUGGGCGCAAGCCUGAUCCAGCCAUUCCGCGUGCAGGACGAAGGCCUUCGGGUUGUAAACUGCUUUUGUAUGGAACGAAAAGGCUCUGGCUAGUACCUGGGGCUCAUGACGGUACCGUAAGAAUAAGCACCGGCUAACUACGUG
This 484-nucleotide ribosomal RNA is filed under the name uncultured bacterium. Its description in RNAcentral is "partial 16S ribosomal RNA". It matches the Rfam family "Bacterial small subunit ribosomal RNA", at positions 30 to 507 of the family's 1533-position model. The record is from RNAcentral.